RNAcentral lists this small nuclear RNA (117 nucleotides) under Monodelphis domestica (gray short-tailed opossum). Its description in RNAcentral is "U2 spliceosomal RNA". It matches the Rfam family "U2 spliceosomal RNA", at positions 1 to 124 of the family's 192-position model. Rfam says of the family: U2 is a small nuclear RNA (snRNA) component of the spliceosome (involved in pre-mRNA splicing). Complementary binding between U2 snRNA (in an area lying towards the 5' end but 3' to hairpin I) and the branchpoint sequence (BPS) of the intron results the bulging out of an unpaired adenosine, on the BPS, which initiates a nucleophilic attack at the intronic 5' splice site, thus starting the first of two transesterification reactions that mediate splicing. Lineage: Eukaryota; Metazoa; Chordata; Mammalia; Didelphimorphia; Didelphidae. The record is from Rfam by way of RNAcentral.
UUAAUUUGACCUUUUGCUAAGAUCGAGUGUAAUCUAUUCUUAUCAGUUUAACACCUGGUACAUCAUCUAUCCAAGGACAGUAUAUUAAAUGGAUUUUUGGAACUGAGGAGAAAGUAU